Molecule: ribosomal RNA, 246 nt
Filed under: uncultured bacterium
Lineage: Bacteria
Description: partial 16S ribosomal RNA
Rfam family: Bacterial small subunit ribosomal RNA
Source: RNAcentral
GGUUCCUACGGGGGGCAGCAGUGGGGAAUAUUGGGCAAUGGGCGCAAGCCUGACCCAGCAACGCCGCGUGAAGGAAGAAAGCUUUCGGGUUGUAAACUUCUUUUAUUCGGGACGAAGAAAGUGACGGUACCGAAUGAAUAAGCCACGGCUAACUAAGUGCCAGCAGCCGCGGUAAUACGUAGGUGGCAAGCGUUAUCCGGAUUUAUUGGGUGUAAAGGGCGUGUAGGCGGGAAGGCAAGGCAGAUG